UACAGAGGGUGCGAGCGUUAAUCGGAAUUACUGGGCGUAAAGCGUGCGUAGACGGUUAUUUAAGUCGGAUGUGAAAGCCCCUGGCUCAACUGGGGAAGUGCACCCGAAACUGAAUGGCUUGAGUGCAAAAGAGGGCCGCGGAAUUCCCGGUGUAGAGGUGAAAUUCGUAGAUAUCGGGAGGAACACCGGUGGCGAAGGCGGCGGCCUGGGUUGACACUGACGCUGAGGCGCGAAAGCGUGGGGAGCAAACAGG
Molecule: ribosomal RNA, 253 nt
Filed under: uncultured bacterium
Lineage: Bacteria
Description: partial 16S ribosomal RNA
Rfam family: Bacterial small subunit ribosomal RNA
Source: RNAcentral